This 214-nucleotide ribosomal RNA is filed under the name Pantoea ananatis. RNAcentral describes it as "partial 23S ribosomal RNA". It matches the Rfam family "Bacterial large subunit ribosomal RNA", at positions 10 to 224 of the family's 2925-position model. The record is from RNAcentral. Lineage: Bacteria; Pseudomonadati; Pseudomonadota; Gammaproteobacteria; Enterobacterales; Erwiniaceae.
ACUAAGCGUACACGGUGGAUGCCCUGGCAGUCAGAGGCGAUGAAGGGCGUGCUAAUCUGCGAUAAGCGCCGGUAAGGUGAUAUGAACCGCAAUAACCGGCGAUACCCGAAUGGGGAAACCCAGUGUGACUCGUCACACUAUCAUGCAGUGAAUACAUAGCUGUAUGAGGCGAACCGGGGGAACUGAAACAUCUAAGUACCCCGAGGAAAAAUAA